AAAUUGAAGAGUUUGAUCAUGGCUCAGAUUGAACGCUGGCGGCAGGCCUAACACAUGCAAGUCGAACGGUAGCACAGAAGAGCUUGCUCUUCGGGUGACGAGUGGCGGACGGGUGAGUAAUGUCUGGGAAACUGCCUGAUGGAGGGGGAUAACUACUGGAAACGGUAGCUAAUACCGCAUAACGUCGCAAGACCAAAGAGGGGGACCUUCGGGCCUCUU
This 219-nucleotide ribosomal RNA is filed under the name Enterobacter sp. FS01. RNAcentral describes it as "partial 16S ribosomal RNA". It matches the Rfam family "Bacterial small subunit ribosomal RNA", at positions 1 to 218 of the family's 1533-position model. The record is from RNAcentral. Lineage: Bacteria; Pseudomonadati; Pseudomonadota; Gammaproteobacteria; Enterobacterales; Enterobacteriaceae.